CAUUACUGUAAGAUAAAAGGGUUUUGAGACUGCAUAUAUAAUAUAUGUGUGCKCGACUCUCAKUCUUUCACUCCACAUACACCUUUUGUGCACUUAUGGGACGGYAGAGUCCCCUUUCUUUUACAUAAACCCCUAGUUAUAUGCAUGUGKUUUAAUACUCYACGGAGUAAUAUACAACUUUCAACAACGGAUCUCUUGGCUUUUGCAUCGAUGAAGAACGCAGCGAAUGUGCGAAACGUAAUGUGAAUUGCAGAAUUCAGUGAAUCAUCGAAUCUUUGAACGCAUCUUGCGCUCCUUGGCAUUCCGAGGAGCAUGCCUGUUUGAGUGUCGUGRACUACUCUCAAUUUCUAAUCUUUCUUUGGAUGGAUUUGAAAUUGGAUUUGGAUGAUGUUGUGAAAAAGUGAUCACAACUGAUCCUAAAUGGAUUAACGGUCUGAAUUUGAUCACGCAAUGUGAUAAGUUGAAAUGUGCAUUGUUUAAAGAUGAAAGACAGACUGUGUAUAGAUGAUUAACUUUUGUUAUAUGUCAUUUGACCUCAAAUCAGGUAGGAUUACCCGCUGAACUUAAGCAUAUCAAUA
Molecule: ribosomal RNA, 578 nt
Filed under: Geastrum hariotii
Lineage: Eukaryota; Fungi; Basidiomycota; Agaricomycetes; Geastrales; Geastraceae
Description: eukaryotic LSU rRNA
Source: RNAcentral